Molecule: ribosomal RNA, 339 nt
Filed under: Triticum aestivum (bread wheat)
Lineage: Eukaryota; Viridiplantae; Streptophyta; Magnoliopsida; Poales; Poaceae
Description: partial small subunit ribosomal RNA
Source: RNAcentral
AUGCAGUUUACAUGUUCCUUGCUGUCGCGUCCAACCAAGACAAACUUUUCUCAAGUUGCAACGAACACCAACGGCCUUUGGCUUGCCCUGGCUUGGCUUUGCAAGCAAGCAAGGGAGAAGCGACGGCGAGGGGAGGGGGCCAUCGCCAUGAUUCAUUUCGUUUGGUUCCUUGCUCUCCCAAGCUUCUCUCUCCGGAAGGAAACACGUUUCGGUGAUGCUGCGGUGACCCUUCCCGGCGGGCUGCUACUUGGGUGGGACAAAUGCUUGCUUCUCGCGCUCCUCAACUCAACUCUCAACUCAAUCCUGCCCCGUGCCAAUCCUUGCAAGUUGCGAGGCUAA